Molecule: long non-coding RNA, 3394 nt
Organism: Lactuca sativa (garden lettuce)
Lineage: Eukaryota; Viridiplantae; Streptophyta; Magnoliopsida; Asterales; Asteraceae
Source: RefSeq, a predicted model, not a curated record
UUCCUCCUUAAAUUAAGCCAAAACCCUAAGUGUAAGUGUGUGUUAGUGUUUGCCGCAAGCUAGAAAGAGUUGGGGUCAUUGCCUGGUAUAACCAGAAAAUCAAGAGAGGGAGGAAAAGUCUCCAUCGUCACUGCCGGAGCUGCCAUUGUUGGAGCUUCCAGUCGUCGGAUUCUGCCAUAGGGCCGCCACCAUUAUUGUCUUCGGAGCUAGAGAAAUAGGGGAGAGUAUUGUGUUGAUUGAAGCUUGAGUGGCAUUUGAGAGUGACACGCUCACCUAGCUCACGUAUGUAGUGUUACUCAUACGACAUGUUAUCAAGUGGAUCGUAUUUGUUAAUUCCUUCGAGAACUAGCGUGUGUGGGUUCAACUAUUAGUUUCAGUGUUGAUCGGCGCCUAGGCGCUUGACGGUCCUCUACCGUCGACGUUUAUAGCUAAUCGGAUUAUAUAAUCGGAAGUGGUCAAAGUCGGUCAAAGACGGGUCUAGGUGGUCAACGAAGUCAAUGUAAUUCAAAAAAAUUACAAGGGCAAAAUUGUCAAAAUGUGACAAAUGCUUCUAGGGUUAAAUCCGUUUUCUCAUUAGAUGCAGUAAAAAAACGACAUUCUCUCUGCCUGUCUGGACACAAACCACGAACGAGAACAAAAAAGUGAAAUAGGAGCAUCUUCUUCUUCCGUUCACUUCGACUUUAACUCUCACCGUCUCCAUCUCACGUCGUCGACUUUAGCUCCAGCCUCGGGUUCAUCAUCUCCUUCAAGCCAUGACGGCGCAGUCCCCUUCCAAGCUUCAGUUCACGACUUCAUCUCCUCCCGUCAUGAAGUUUCUCGGCCCACGAUUCCAGUUCACGAAGUAUCUUGGUUCCAAAAUCAACUCUUCUUCCGACAUCAGCUCCUCUCAUCGACAUUAAUUGAAUUUUCCAGCAAAGGUUAGUUUUUAGUUUUGUACUUCUCUGUGACAGCUUCUUCUGUUCACAGAAAGCAAUUAUCAAGUCUAAAUUUAUCAAUUGACCAUGGGUUAAGUCUCAAUGGUAUACAUCAUGCAUGAUUUAUGUGAGUUUGAUUUAUGAAGAUUAGGAAGCAAAAGGUGAAAUCGAUUUGAGAUUAGGAAAACUGAACAUCUGUUAACAAUUCUUCUUAUACAUCCGUUAACUGUUCUUCUGUGACAUUUGUUAAGAAAUUGAUCAUUUGUGAAAGCUGAUUAACAUGAAAAAUUUGUUAGGAAAUUUGGUAUCCGGUUAAUUGAACAUCUGUUGUAGCUGUUUAACAUGAAAUAUGUCAAGUAGUUUUUCUUUUUUGAAAUCUGUUAAAUAUAAAUAUGUUAUGCAUAUGUUGAGUUGAAAUCUGUUAAACAGAAAUCUGUCAAGUAUUUUUUCUGAAAUCUGUUAAAUACUUAAAUAUGAAUAUGUUGUGCAUUUGUUGAAAACUUGAAAUCUGAUAAACAUGAAUCUGUUAAGUAUUUCUUUUAGCGCUUUAGCAUUAUGGUAUUAACAUGAAUCUAUAAGUUGUUUGGUUGAUUGAUAAUCAUUUUGUGAAGCAUUUAUAAUAUAUUUUUUAAGGUGUUAAUUUUUUUAAUGUGUUAAUGUGAUGAUUUAACAAUUAACAAUCAAUGACUUCGAAUGCUUCGACUACACCGUCUGUGGGAUCAACCACCACUGAUACACAUAAACGGAAUUCGGAUGAUGUUGGUUGGGAAUAUGGUUUUAUCCCGGAUAAAAGCAACUUGGAUAGAUUGAAAUGUAAAUUAUGUGGAAAAGUGUUUGGCGGAGGGAUUACUAGAAUGAAACAACAUAUUGCUCAUGUGAAGGAGAAUGUAUCUUCAUGUCCAAAUUCUACAAAAUAUGAUCAAUUGAAAUGUUGAAAUUCUAUUAAUGAAGGGAAGUUAAAAAAGAAAGCUAAACAUUCGCAAGAUGAAGCCUUAAGAUUUGAGGUAAGACAAGAAUUUCAUGAUAGCGUGGAUGGAGUUGAAUCUUCUUUGGGGUUGAAGGCACCAAAUGUUAUAGGCCCCAUGGAUGGCUACGCAAACAAAAUAAACCCCGAAGAAGAUUUGAAUGCGAGAAAGGGAAAAAAUGUUGAUUUUAACAAUAUUGUCCGGAAAGAAAAAAUACUCACGGUCCAUAAAUACAUUAGUAAGUAGGCAUAUGAAAGCGCAAAUCCUUUUCAUGCCUUUGAAAGGGAUAGCUUCAAAAUGAUGCUGGAGGUUGUUGGCCAAUUUGGAAUCGGGCUUCCACUUCCUACUAGAUAUGCUUUGAGUGACACGCUUCUAAAGCAUGAGGUUGAAAUAACAAAAAACUUGUUGAAAAAAAACGAACAAGAAUGGAAAGAGGAUGGAUUCUCGAUUAUGACGGAUGCUUGGUCUGAUCGAAAGAGAAGGAGCAGUAUGAAUUUACGUGUUAAUUCAAAGAUGGGUACUAUUUUUUUUAUCUUCAAAAAAAUGAUCCAACGAAGCACAUACAAGCCAAAAAAUAUAUGAAUAUGUGGAGUCUUGCAUUCAACAAGUUGGUCAUGAGCAUGUUGUUCAAGUUGUGACCGAUAAUGCCACGAAUAACAUGGGGGCGGCAAAGUUGCUAAAAGAGAAGACCAUCUAUUUUUUGGACAUCACGUGCGACACAUACCAUUAACCUUAUGCUUGAAGGUAUUGGUGCACUCCCAAGGUUUAAGAAAAUUCUAGAUCAAGCAAAGAAGCUAACCAUCUUCAUUUAUGCUCACUACAAAACCUCGGCGAUGAUGAGAAGUUACACAAACAAAAGAGAAAUUAUCCGACCGGGAGUCACGAGAUUUGUUUCUAUCUUUCUAACAUUACAAAGUUUGGCCGAAAAAAAGGAGCAACUAAGACAUGUUCUCUAGCACCGAAUGGGAGGAAUGUAAAUUUUCUAGUACGCCUAAAGGGAUUACCUCAUAUAAAACGGUGUCAAGUGUCCAAUUUUGGUCUGGUGUGGCACAAUGUUUAAAGGUGUUCUCCCCUUUGGUGAAAGUCCUUCGAAUGGUUGAUGCGGAUUGGAAGCCCUCAAUGGGUUUUGUUUACGGGGAGAUUAAAGCUGCUAAAGAAGAAAUUAUCAUAUCAUUGGGCGGUAACGAGAAAGCUUACAAGCCUAUUAUAGAUAUCAUAAACAAAAAGAUGAAAGGUCGUCUAGAUUCAAGUUUACAUUUAACGUCUUAUCUUUUGAAUCCGUAUUAUCAUUAUAAGGAUCCACAGCUCCAAUAUGAUCCCGAUAUAAUGAAUGCGGUUCUUGAUUUUUUUGAUACGUUACUUUGUGACAAUUUUGAGAUGCAAAGGCAAGUUGUAACAAUUGAUUUGCCAAAGUACAAGAAAAAAGUUGAUAGAUUUGGUUACGAUCUUGCAAUUAAAAAUUGUAGGGUGAAUGAUGUCGAGUUUGAUCCCGGUAAUUCAUUUUACUUUUAGUUA